GCGGAAGUGGCGGAAUUGGCAGACGCCUACGGCUCAGGACCGUAGGCCCGAAAGGGCGUGGGGGUUCAACUCCCCCCUUCCGCACCA
Molecule: transfer RNA, 87 nt
Filed under: Candidatus Omnitrophota bacterium
Lineage: Bacteria; Pseudomonadati; Candidatus Omnitrophota
Description: Candidatus Omnitrophica bacterium tRNA-Leu
Rfam family: tRNA
About the family: Transfer RNA (tRNA) molecules are approximately 80 nucleotides in length. Their secondary structure includes four short double-helical elements and three loops (D, anti-codon, and T loops).
Source: RNAcentral